This 57-nucleotide small RNA is filed under the name Arabidopsis thaliana (thale cress). RNAcentral describes it as "ATSL103590". Lineage: Eukaryota; Viridiplantae; Streptophyta; Magnoliopsida; Brassicales; Brassicaceae. The record is from RNAcentral.
UAUUUUAAACCUGUCAUACCAUCUAAUCCUGUUCGGUGAAAUUAAACAUUAUUUUUU